Molecule: ribosomal RNA, 452 nt
Filed under: uncultured bacterium
Lineage: Bacteria
Description: bacterial SSU rRNA
Rfam family: Bacterial small subunit ribosomal RNA
Source: RNAcentral
GUCCCAGACUCCUACGGGAGGCAGCAGUGGGGAAUAUUGGGCAAUGGGCGAAAGCCUGACCCAGCAACGCCGCGUGAAGGAAGAAGGCUUUCGGGUUGUAAACUUCUUUUGACAGGGAAGAGCAGAAGACGGUACCUGUCGAAUAAGCCACGGCUAACUACGUGCCAGCAGCCGCGGUAAUACGUAGGUGGCAAGCGUUGUCCGGAUUUACUGGGUGUAAAGGGCGUGUAGCCGGGAAGGCAAGUCAGAUGUGAAAUCCGGAGGCUCAACCUCCGAAUUGCAUUUGAAACUGUUUUUCUUGAGUACUGGAGAGGCAGACGGAAUUCCUUGUGUAGCGGUGAAAUGCGUAGAUAUAAGGAGGAACACCAUUGGCGAAGGCGGUCUGCUGGACAGCAACUGACGGUGAGGCGCGAAAGCGUGGGGAGCAAACAGGAUUAGAUACCCCAGUAGUA